CGCAGAGUGACGGGGCACAAGCCCCGGUAAUGCGGCAACCUGGUCACAAGCCCAG
RNAcentral lists this non-coding RNA (55 nucleotides) under unclassified sequences. The record is from RNAcentral.